This 322-nucleotide long non-coding RNA is filed under the name Cottoperca gobio. RNAcentral describes it as "lncRNA (ENSCGOG00000000010.1)". Lineage: Eukaryota; Metazoa; Chordata; Actinopteri; Perciformes; Bovichtidae. The record is from RNAcentral.
GAAAGUAUUUCUUCCUGGAGGGUGUGUAACGUGAUCAUCUGCUGAACAAUGUUGCUGGGAGUUUGCGUCAACACUGGAGGCCUGUUUUCAGCUCCGUGCCGCCUAACACUGAUGCAGUUCUCCACAGUGACACCUUGGACCUGCCCAGAACAACCACAGCCUUCAAGGUCACCUCCGCACGAGCUGCUGUCAUCCCUCCCAUCCCUCAGCUCCCAGUCGGGAAGAUUUUCAGACAUCCGCAAGACAACGACAUUUUAAAAUGUAUUCCGAUCAAUGCAAAAGUGACCAAACUUCUCCAGGCUUGUGUUGUGAAGGACACAAG